Molecule: long non-coding RNA, 1322 nt
Filed under: Homo sapiens (human)
Lineage: Eukaryota; Metazoa; Chordata; Mammalia; Primates; Hominidae
Description: HSALNT0286994
Source: RNAcentral
GGCAAAUGGUCAGGACAGGACUUAUUCACAUCUUCCCAGAGAGUGAGAGCUUGUUUAAAUUGUUUAUAAAAAUUUAUUCUUCUAGUGUUCUUCUUCCUGCUUUAUUUCUCCGGAAGGCCAUAGGAUAAAGAAGGAAGGCAGCAUGUUAACAAGGUCAGCAGUAAAAUAUGAUGAAAAAUGUGUCUGCUGUCUGAGGAUGCAUACUGAGAAAUGCCUUUCACAUGAGGCACACAUACCUUUGGUUAAGAGAAUCUUGGCCUCCUCCACACUUCACCGGCACCCCCCACAAUCAUCAUGGAGGAGUCAGCAAUGGUGCUUUGGGAUGGUAAGCCACUCCAGGGCUGCACUGUCUGGAGGAGAAACUUGAUAACCAAACAAAGCCUAACAAUGUGGUUCUUCAUUGCCUAGACAAGAGUUAUAAAUAAGGAAGGUAGGAACCCUGGAGAGGACCACUGCUUGGCUUCAAUGUGGAUGAGACACUUGGCAAAUAGUCUGGCACAGACAUUGAACAGCCAACCACACAUGGAGGACAACCAACCAUAAGCACAGACCAACCACACUCAACCUUGGAACAACCAUUCACAAGCACUGUAGAAGAAAUGAAAGAGAGGAUGACUCCUUGCCAGUGUGAGUGCAGAGGCAGUGACAAGAUCAGAUGACCCUGCCCAUGCUCUUCUACCCUAUAGAUUCUCCACCCAAGACCCCUACACUGUGCUUGCCUAGCACAAGUACCCCCACUAGACCACAUGCUUCUCAGGGUUUCCAUCCAGUCCUCAAUCUCCUCUACCAAAUGAAUGCCCUUCUAUGCUCACUGUGUUGCCUUUCCAGGUACAUGAGAUAGCCAAAAGGGUAGAAAUGCCCCUGCAAGCAUGUGCAGGCCAAAGAUCCUCCAAAAUAUCUAUCUCCCAAUCAAGAAAGCACAAGACAUAAACAAAGUCAGCAAUAUUCAUCUGUUACCACCAUCUGAAGAUAGUGAAUCAAAAUAAGAGAAAGACACUGCUGGAGCAUAACCAGGAAAUCCCAAUUAAUUUCACUGCUCCUCUAGUGAUGUUUACAGACCUAGAAUUAUCCUCUGAGUCUCAAAAGAAAGUAGCCUAUGGAAACAUGACCAACCACUUACAGACCAAUGUUACAAAGAUGGUAAACUUGUUAUUGUGUAGUUUGGGUUCCUUGUAUAUUUUGGAUAUUAUCCCCUUAUCUGAUGUGUGAUUUGCAUUUUUUCUCCCAAUCUGGGGGUUGUCUCUUUACUUGAUUGUUUCCUUUGCUGUGCAGAAGCUUUUUAGCUUGAUACAAUCCUAUUUGCUUAUUUUUGUUUAUGGUGG